RNAcentral lists this ribosomal RNA (277 nucleotides) under uncultured bacterium. RNAcentral's name for it is "partial 16S ribosomal RNA". It matches the Rfam family "Bacterial small subunit ribosomal RNA", at positions 335 to 606 of the family's 1533-position model. The record is from RNAcentral.
ACUCCUACGGGAGGCAGCAGUGGGAAUAUUGGACAAUGGGGGCAACCCUGAUCCAGCAAUGCCGCGUGUGUGAAGAAGGCCUACGGGUUGUAAAGCACUUUCGGCGGGGAGGAGGCAGUAGGGUUAAUAGCGCUACUGAUUGACGUUACCCGCAAAAGCAGCACCGGCUAACUCUGUGCCAGCAGCCGCGGUAAUACAGAGGGUGCAAGCGUUAAUCGGAGUGACUGGGCGUAAAGGGCGUGUAGGCGGAUAUUUAAGUUAAUUGUGAAAGCCCGGC